This is a non-coding RNA of Prunus avium (sweet cherry), 3493 nucleotides long. The record is from RefSeq and is a predicted model, not a curated record. Lineage: Eukaryota; Viridiplantae; Streptophyta; Magnoliopsida; Rosales; Rosaceae.
UAAUGGUUUGUGUGCAUUGUAAGAAAAAGAGCGAGGAUGAGAUAAAGAGAAAGAAAGAGAAAUUCCAAGAGAGUUUUCUUACCAUUGUAGUGCAUCAAGGAUAAAUGGCAACAGCAGUUAAUUGUAUUGCUCCAAAAACCAUCAUGAACCUUAUUAUGCUCAUUUCGGUUCUCUGCUUAUGCACGAAAUCAGUCGAAGUUGAAGCACAAGCUUCGCGUCUGCCUGCUGCAGAAGUUGAAGCACUAAAAGAAAUAGCAACACAAGUGGGAAAAAAAGACUGGAACUUCAGCAUAGAUCCAUGCAGCAAUGAUACAAAUUGGGCUACCCCAAAAUCUGCUGACUUGCCUUUAUACAACAACACUGUCAUAUGCAACUGCUCCUACCCUGAUGGUUUCUGCCAUGUUGUCAGCAUUUUUCUUAAAGGGCAAGAUCUUGCUGGUGUAGUUCCACCAUCGGCUGCAAAGUUACUCUACCUAACAAGAGUAGAUUUUACCAGGAACUACCUUACUGGUACUAUACCGCGUGAAUGGGCUUCUACAAAGUUGGAAUAUCUGUCCAUUACUGUGAACAAUUUAUCAGGACCAAUCCCUGGCUACUUGGGAAACAUAAGCACCCUAAUAUAUAUGAGCUUGGAGAAUAACAACUUUUCUGGAACUGUUCCUCCUGAGCUUGGGAAAUUGGUUAACUUGAACAAUCUCAUUCUUAGUGCAAACAAUCUCACAGGAGAGUUGCCACUGGCUCUUACUAAUCUGACUAAGUUAACAGAACUUAGGAUUAGCAGUAACAACUUCACAGGAAGAAUACCUGAUUUUAUUCAAAGCUGGAAGCAACUUCAGAAAUUAGAGAUCCAGGCUAGUGGUCUCCAAGGGCCCAUUCCGUCUAACAUUUCUGCCUUGAGUAAUUUAACAGAUCUAAGGAUCAGUGACAUAAAUGGAACGGGUUCAGAAUUUCCACCCUUGAGUAGUAUGACAGGCAUGGGAAGUUUAAUGCUGAGGAGCUGUAACUUAUCUGGACGCAUCCCCCCUUAUAUAUCAGCAAUGACAACAUUGAAAAUAUUAGAUCUCAGCUUCAACAGAUUGGAAGGAGACAUCCCUGAUUUAUUAGCGACCCUGACAAACUUGCAAUUUCAUAUGACCUGAUGGAAAACUGCUGAUAAGACUAUUUCAAUUUCAUUUAUCUACUCAAAUACUUGCUUUAAUCUGAUUACAAUUCAUGUGAUGCUGUUUCUUGGUUGUUACUGAAUAGAUCGGUACUCAUUACAUAUAAAUUGUGGUGGAAAGGCAACCACCAUUGGACGAAUUAACUUUGAAGGGGAUCCAGACCUAGGAGGUGCAGCAAAAUUUGUUCCUGUGAGACCUAUCUGGGGAAUCAGUACUACUGGACAUUUCUGGGAUGCUAACCCCACCUCUAAUGACUACAUAGCAAAUAAUGCAUCCACACUUGGAAUGAACAACUCUGAGUUGUACACAAGUGCACGCCUAUCUCCUCUUUCUCUCACGUAUUAUGCACGCUGUUUCGGAAAUGGAAACUAUACUGUGAGGCUUCACUUUUCGGAGAUAAUAAUCCGAGGCAAUAGAUCUUUUUACAGUCUUGGAAGACGGAUAUUUGAUAUCUAUAUUCAGGAGAAACUGGUGUGGAAGGAUUUUGACAUUGAAAAGGAAGCACAAGGGGUUGAUAAGGAGGUCAUUAAGGAACUUAAAGCAGUUGAGGUUAAGAACAAAACUUUAGAGAUCCGAUUUCAUUGGUCUGGGAAAGGGACAACAGCUUCUCCAAAGAGAGGAACAUAUGGUCCUCUUAUAUCAGCUAUCUCUCUAGAGUCUGAGUUCCCGCCUCCUCGUGAUAAGAAAAGCAAGGUACCUAUUGUGGUGGGAGCUUCAGUUGGAGCUUCGGUUUUAUGCCUCAUUUUCUUGAUUUUAGGCAUUCUUUGGUGGAAAGGCAGUCUGGAUAGCAAGACAUCAAGGGAAAAAGCUCUUAGAGAACUGGAUCUGCAAACUGGAUUUUUCACCUUCAGGCAAAUUAAAGCUGCCACUAACAACUUUGAUCUUAAAAACAAAAUUGGGGAAGGCGGUUUUGGGUCUGUCUACAAGGGUAUAUUGUUGGAUGGUACUAUAAUCGCAGUUAAGCAACUAUCUUCAAAAUCAAAGCAAGGAAACCGUGAGUUUGUCAAUGAAAUAGGCAUGAUUUCUGGUUUACAACAUCCGAAUCUUGUUAGAUUGUAUGGGUGCUGCAUUGAAGCAAAUCAACUACUGUUGGUAUAUGAAUACAUGGAAAACAAUAGCCUUGCACGUGCUUUGUUUGGUCCAGAGGAAGGUCCAUUAAAAUUGGACUGGCCUACAAGGCAGAAAAUAUGCUUGGGCAUAGCAAGAGGUUUGGCUUUUUUGCAUGAGGAAUCUGCACUGAAGGUUGUGCAUAGAGACAUCAAAACUACGAAUAUAUUACUGGACCAUGACCUUAGCCCUAAGAUCUCAGACUUUGGUUUGGCUAAGCUUGAUGAAGAGGAGAACACCCACAUUAGCACCAGAGUUGCUGGAACUAUAGGAUACAUGGCGCCUGAAUAUGCACUAUGGGGUUAUUUAACCUACAAAGCAGAUGUCUACAGCUUUGGUGUUGUUGCAUUGGAAAUUGUUGCUGGAAAGAACAACAUGAAAUAUCGACCAAAUGAGAAUUUUGUAUGCCUUGUGGAUUGGGCCCUUGUUUUGCAACAAAAAGGGAAUUUAAUGGACCUGGUAGAUCCAAGGUUGGGGUCCAAUUUCAGUAAGGAAGAGGCAAUUAGAAUGGUUAAAGUGGCUCUGCUAUGCACCAAUCCUGCACCAGCCCUUAGGCCUGCUAUGUCUGCAGUAGUGAGUAUGCUUGAAGGGAAGACUGCUGUUCAUGAACUGAUUAUGGAUCCAAGUAUUUAUGGUGAUGAAAUAAGGUUAACAGCUCUGAGAAACCAGUUUGAUCAGAUUGCACAAGAGAGCUCAACUGGAACUCAGAGCCUCAUUCGUUCAUCGGAUGCAACGUGGAUUGGUUCUUCUGCUACUGCUACUUCUUCAGAUCUCUACAAAAUCAAUCCUAGUUCUUAGUAAAUGUAUACCUUUUGUUGCCCAUGACGCACAAGCCCUUGUAUAAAGAUGCCUUCACUUCACUUUCCAAUACCAAAAACUUCAAUUACCUCUUACUUCAUUUAGGACCAGUUUGAUAACCAUUUCAGUUUUCAGUUUUUAUUUUUCAAUUUUCAAUUUUCAGUUUUCAUUUUUCAUUUUUCAUUUUUCAUAAACUGAAAACUGAAAACUUGUUUGGUAACUAAUUUUAAUUUUCAAAAAAAGUGAAAAGUGAAAACUAAACACAAGAUGUUCGGUAAUUGAUUUCAAUUUUCAGUUUUUAUUUUUAUGUGAAACUUGGAAAUGGAAGCUUUUAGGGUCCAAUUGUGAAUUUGAUAUCAUAGAAUGUAAGUGCCUGUUACAAGGAGUUCGUAGUAUUUUUCGGUGAGUUUUUAUGAAUUAUGAUGAUU